CCCUUAGAUGUCCUGGGCCGCACGCGUGCUACACUGACGCCUACAGCGAGUACUUCCCAGCCCCGAGAGGUGGCUGGUAAUCAGCAAUAGGCGUCGUGAUGGGGAUAGAUCUUUGGAAUUAUGGAUCUUGAACGAGGAAUGCCUAGUAAGCGCAGGUCAUUAGCCUGCGUUGAUUAAGUCCCUGCCCUUUGUACACACCGCCCGUCGCUCCUACCGAUUUCGAGUGGUCCGGUGAAUCUUUCGGACUGCGCGCGGCUUCGUGCCGUGUCGCGGAAAGUCAGGUAAACCUUAUCACUUAGAGGAAGGAGAAGUCGUAACA
RNAcentral lists this ribosomal RNA (319 nucleotides) under uncultured eukaryote. RNAcentral describes it as "partial 18S ribosomal RNA". It matches the Rfam family "Eukaryotic small subunit ribosomal RNA", at positions 1470 to 1796 of the family's 1831-position model. The record is from RNAcentral.